CAAGCAGCAUGGACAAGACCCAGCCCAGGUGUCAGGAGGAAAGGAACAACCACUGCUGUCCCUCAGUCCCCAGUGAGUAACUUCUAUCUAGAGGAUGGCCUUGAAGACUGACUAGACUCUGGCCUUCUACAAGAAAAGUCCAAUGCACAAGAGAAAGUCAACUAAAGAUGAGGCAACUGAGGCUCAGAAGUUAAAUGACAUGUCCAAGGCCACAGAGCUGGAAACUUACAAACUUGUUUCUCAAGCCACCAGAGGAGCUCCAUGUCUUAUAGAGCAAUGGUUGAUCAAGUUUCUCU
Choloepus didactylus (southern two-toed sloth) is the source of this 296-nucleotide long non-coding RNA. RefSeq lists it as uncharacterized. The record is from RefSeq and is a predicted model, not a curated record. The transcript is spliced from 4 exons. NCBI's taxonomy places the organism in Eukaryota, Metazoa, Chordata, Mammalia, Pilosa, Megalonychidae.